AGGGGUUUGAUCCUGGCUCAGGACGAACGCUGGCGGCGUGCCUAAUACAUGCAAGUCGAGCGAGUCUGCCUUGAAGAUCGGAGUGCUUGCACUCUGUGAAACAAGAUACAGGCUAGCGGCGGACGGGUGAGUAACACGUGGGUAACCUGCCCAAGAGAUCGGGAUAACACCUGGAAACAGAUGCUAAUACCGGAUAACAACAGAUGAUGCCUAUCAACUGUUUAAAAGAUGGUUCUGCUAUCACUCUUGGAUGGACCUGCGGUGCAUUAGCUAGUUGGUAGGGUAACGGCCUACCAAGGCGAUGAUGCAUAGCCGAGUUGAGGGACUGAUCGGCCACAUUGGGACUGAGACACGGCCCAAACUCCUACGGGAGGCAGCAGUAGGGAAUCUUCCACAAUGGACGCAAGUCUGAUGGAGCAACGCCGCGUGAGUGAAGAAGGGUUUCGGCUCGUAAAGCUCUGUUGUUGGUGAAGAAGGACAGGGGUAGUAACUGACCUUUGUUUGACGGGUAAUCAAUUAA
RNAcentral lists this ribosomal RNA (520 nucleotides) under uncultured Bacillota bacterium. RNAcentral describes it as "bacterial SSU rRNA". It matches the Rfam family "Bacterial small subunit ribosomal RNA", at positions 1 to 486 of the family's 1533-position model. The record is from RNAcentral. Lineage: Bacteria; Bacillati; Bacillota.